Conger conger (European conger) is the source of this 597-nucleotide long non-coding RNA. RefSeq lists it as uncharacterized. The record is from RefSeq and is a predicted model, not a curated record. NCBI's taxonomy places the organism in Eukaryota, Metazoa, Chordata, Actinopteri, Anguilliformes, Congridae. The transcript is spliced from 3 exons.
GACUGAUUGACAGAGAAGUGCGCCUCGUUUAAGGGGUUUUCCGGCACCCAUUUACGUUCGGAUAAGGGUAUCGCCCACAUCGACCUCCUCUUAACAAUAGAGAGACUAGCUUGGCACGGCGGAGGUGCCCCUUCGUAAGGGCUGCGAUAUUCCGUCCAGAUAACACAGUCACCUAGGACAGCAUCGCCUUUGAUUUCAAGUUCAGCAUGAAGCGGACAAACAGAGAGAAGAAUGCAGGUGACCAGCCCGAGAUGCCACGUGGGAAGGGAACACGAAUGCAAAUGGACUGCGCAGAAUCAAGAAGAGUGUGUGCAACUCAAAGCCGUUUCCAUUUUUAAAACACUGCUGCAUCUCUCCAAACGUAGUGCAUAAAUACACAAACACACACACAUCGCGAACUCCCAGACAUCUUUAUACACAAUCUAAUCUAUCCACUCCCUCCUUCUGUGUACACCUCAUCAUCCCACUCAGAACCGCACACAAUUUACCCGUCUUCUGGCUGUGUGUAUGUGUGUUUGUGUGUGUGUGUGUGCUAGAACAAGUGUCCCUUUAUAGCUGUGCGUUUCUUGUGAAAUAAAUAGUCUUGCGCUACCCACA